RNAcentral lists this long non-coding RNA (3247 nucleotides) under Medicago truncatula (barrel medic). Its description in RNAcentral is "lncRNA gene15364". The record is from RNAcentral. Lineage: Eukaryota; Viridiplantae; Streptophyta; Magnoliopsida; Fabales; Fabaceae.
CAGAAAUAAACCAUAAAAUAAAGAAAACUCUGUGGUAUCUAUAAGGAAAAAGUGCAUCUGUGAUUCUCAGCUGAGCUAAGCUAACUAGCAGGAAGGGUGUUUGCAUCUUGAGAAGUCUGCUAAGAAAUCAGGUAUGCAUGUAAUAAUUAUUAUUAGGUUAAAUACAAAAUUUAGUCCCUAAAUUCAAAAUUUAGAUAUUUGGUCCCAUGUUUUACACAAUAUUGGAGGUCUGGUCCUAACCCGCAUUUUUUGGGCAAAAGGGGCGGUUUUUGGCCAAUUUUUUUUUUUAAUUUUAUGAAUUUUCUCUUCAAUUUUCUCUUCUCACAUGCCAACUUUUCGAAAAUAUCCUCGUUCUGAUUGUAUAAUAUGAAUUUCUUUUUGAACGUUUUUAGAUUAUAUAAUCUGACGAAAAAAAACAGAAUUUUAAAAUAUAUGAUUCCAAAAAUAAAAUCUAAAACCUCUAAUACUUCUUCAUAAGAGGGUCAAAAUAGCUUAUUUUCCUAAAGAUAGAAGGCAAAAUUUUGAAUUUUUUUAUUAGGGGGCCGAAAUCGCAACAUUUUAAAUGUUAAGAGGUCAAAAAUGCACUUAAACCUAUUAAAAAAAACAUUAAAUAUGGGGUAGAAAAAUCUUUUAAACAAUAUCUACAUCUUAAAAGUUGUGAUACACCGUUAUCCUUUUAAGAACCUAUUUGAAACUUAAAAACUUAAAAACUUAAAAAUUAAUCAAACAGAUGCAUUAAAUUAAAAAUUUAAAAACCUAUUAAAAACUUAAAAAACUUAAAGAAUUAAGUUGAUAUUUUUGUCAAACAUAAAAGGAUAAAAGAGCUAUUUGACCUUUCUAUCUUAUAAAUAAGACCAUAUUUUUUUUUUUAAAAUUUCCUUAUAUACAGGAUCUGAGGGGGAGUACAUCAUUAUAGUGACAUGCACAUACAACUCAUAUAGAUGUAGCAACCAUGUCAUCUUUUUUACUUUAUUAAACUAGUUACAAACCCGUGCGAUCAAUAACGUAUUCGAUAAAAAAAAUCUUUGAAAGAAGAGAUGUUAAAACGACGGAACAUUGUGAUUCAUCAUAAAAUAUGUAUGGACUGAUUAAGAGAGCAUAUAAUCAGUUUAUGAGAUUAGAAAUUGACAUAAUAUUUAGGAUGAAAACAAUUUGAACCAAUAAAGGAACUAAUGAUGUGUGAAUUUACAUAUUAUCCAAAAUUAUAAAAAAGAAUGUUGUUGUUAUAAAGUUACGAAAAAAUGAUUGAUACCCAUAUUUACAUCAAAUGAAAUCGAGCAAAGAAGUAGCAUCGGUGAGUGAAGAUAAUCUAGUCUAAGAUUAGAGUUAAGGUGAUAUGCUGAAAGUGCGGAUUAUGAACACCAAAUCUUUAUUUGGAAACGACUUGAACGUGCAUACUUUUAGGUGGCUUCUCUAGAUCAAAAAUUAACUUAUCACCUACCUCUAACAUAUGUUCUCGGCAAAAUUUGAACCAUUGGCUGCCUAAAUAUUUUUUGUAACUUAUCAAGCGACACUUAUACCUUUUUUGAGCUUGUUUGUCAAUGCGUGUGAUUGUUUUCCGUGUUCCUUUUAGAAAAGUCAUUGAUAUCUCAUUUGAGAAGUGCUAGGUAUAAAACAAGCAGUGUUAAUUAGAAGUUAUAUAUAUGUACAUUUCUAAAACAUUUACCAAAACAUUAUAAAGAUUUACUAUAGGAAAAGAGCAUGUUUUAUUUUUUUUCUUCAAGAGAUUAUGAAAACAACAUUACAAUUAACAUGAUACUAAUUGGAACCAAUGAAGGAACCAACAAUGUGCAGAUUAACGUUACAUAAUAGUUAGGUUUAUAAAAGAGAUUGCAAGUUUCAUAGACUAACCAAAAAGGGAUUUUUGCCAAUAUUUACACCAGACAAAAUGAAAAGAACAAAUGACAUCUCAAAGUCAAGAUAGUUUACGACUACAGUCCAAAGCGAUACGUCAAAAUAGUAGAAGUUCAAAUAGUUCAACAACAAAUAUCUACUUUGGAACAACUCGAAUUUGCAAGUUUUUCUGUGACUUUUCGAGAUCAAAGAUGAGCUCCACCUUCUUCCAUCACUCGUUAUCUGCAGAAAUUGAACCACUUCCCACCCAAGUAAUUUUCAUAGCUUGCCCUAUCGCGGUAAAGAGGUGACAGUUAUACUGUCUCUAAGUCUGGUCAUCAAUGAGAGUGAUUGUUUUGCGCUUUCCUUUCAAAAUUGUUCUUGACACGUCGUUUGAGAAAUGCUAAACAUGAAAAUAACUGGAAUAUCAGUCUAAUGCAUAUUUACAUGGAUAAGAUGUAUGCGAAUAUAGUUACAUAUUAUUUAUAAAAUAAAGGUAGCAUAACUGAUUUUAAGCUAAAGAAAAUGUAGCAUGACUUCUAAUUUAUCUUCCUAUAAAGUCUAGAUAAAUGCAUGCAUGUACAUUAUAUUUACCCUGUUGACCAAUUAACAUUGUUGAAACAAAUGGAAAUUAAGCAUCACUUCUGCAUGUGCAUAUAUAGUUAGCACCAUUUGACAUUGAUGUCUUCGAACAUUUGGUGCAACUCUCAUAAUACAAUCCAAACUGGUUAGGAUUGAAUUUGGUUGUUUUCCAAAUAGUGAUGCAGUAUGUUUCCUAACACAAAUUAUGCACAUGAAAUAAAGAAUAAUGCAAUAUGUAUUUUUAAUUUGUGCAUAAAAAAACUCAAAGCAUGUUUGUGCAUAAAAAAGUAGACAUUGACUAAGUUUAUAAAUUCAGCAAUUGGCCUAACCUGAGACAGUUUGCAAAAAUCGUUGUACGAAGUACGUUGAGAAGAAGUCGAACUCUGACUUAAGUUCUAACUGAAGCUUUAACUCUGAGCUUGAGAAGUGUUAAGGUUAUGACAACAAUUCAAGAAACAUUGUCAAAAAACAACCAAAUCGGAUUGUGAACUAAUAAGUUACUCUAACACUAUAUUGUGAAAUCAUAAUGCAAAUUUACUCAGUCUUAAACUUCUCAACAACCGGAUGAUGUAGGUUGACGAGCAGCCUUGAACCUGACCAAUUGUUACAUAUAUUUGGGUUGCCAUUGACUACAAAAUGGAAGCAAAGAACUCAAAGUAAAAAGAUGGUAAAUGAUAAAGCUACGGAGUAUUUUUCCCAUAGUGUUACAUCAAUUAUAUUCCCACUACAUAAGGAAAGACAUCUUUCGCGUCAUUAUCAAACUUAUACAAAAUCCUAUCAUCUGAUGCUGACAAAAUAGAAAAUAAUACCAUUUCUAUUUAACAAUGUUUAG